RNAcentral lists this ribosomal RNA (481 nucleotides) under uncultured bacterium. RNAcentral describes it as "bacterial SSU rRNA". It matches the Rfam family "Bacterial small subunit ribosomal RNA", at positions 30 to 506 of the family's 1533-position model. The record is from RNAcentral.
AUUGAACGCUGGCGGCAUGCCUUACACAUGCAAGUCGAACGGCAGCGGACCUUCGGGUGCCGGCGAGUGGCGAACGGGUGAGUAAUAUAUCGGAACGUACCUUUCAGUGGGGGAUAACGUAGCGAAAGUUACGCUAAUACCGCAUAUUCUGUGAGCAGGAAAGCAGGGGAUCGCAAGACCUUGCGCUGAUUGAGCGGCCGAUAUCAGAUUAGCUAGUUGGUGAGGUAAAGGCUCACCAAGGCGACGAUCUGUAGCGGGACUGAGAGGAUGAUCAGCCACACUGGGACUGAGACACGGCCCAGACUCCUACGGGAGGCAGCAGUGGGGAAUAUUGGACAAUGGGCGCAAGCCUGAUCCAGCAAUGCCGCGUGUGUGAAGAAGGCCUGCGGGUUGUAAAGCACUUUCAGUAGGGAAGAACGGGCGAGGGUUAAUACCCCUAGCCACUGACGUUACCCACAGAAGAAGCACCGGCUAACUCCGU